Molecule: ribosomal RNA, 754 nt
Filed under: uncultured Pseudomonadota bacterium
Lineage: Bacteria; Pseudomonadati; Pseudomonadota
Description: bacterial SSU rRNA
Rfam family: Bacterial small subunit ribosomal RNA
Source: RNAcentral
AUUGAACGCUGGCGGCAGGCCUAACACAUGCAAGUCGAACGGUAACAGGAAGCAGCUUGCUGCUUCGCUGACGAGUGGCGGACGGGUGAGUAAUGUCUGGGAAGCUGCCUGAUGGAGGGGGAUAACUACUGGAAACGGUAGCUAAUACCGCAUAAUGUCGCAAGACCAAGGAGGGGGACCUUCGGGCCUCUUGCCAUCGGAUGUGCCCAGAUGGGAUUAGCUUGUUGGUGGGGUAACGGCUCGCCAAGGCGACGAUCCCUAGCUGGUCUGAGAGGAUGACCAGCCACACUGGAACUGAGACACGGUCCAGACUCCUACGGGAGGCAGCAGUGGGGAAUAUUGCACAAUGGGCGCAAGCCUGAUGCAGCCAUGCCGCGUGUAUGAAGAAGGCCUUCGGGUUGUAAAGUACUUUCAGCGGGGAGGAAGGGAGUAAAGUUAAUACCUUUGCUCAUUGACGUUACCCGCAGAAGAAGCACCGGCUAACUCCGUGCCAGCAGCCGCGGUAAUACGGAGGGUGCAAGCGUUAAUCGGAAUUACUGGGCGUAAAGCGCACGCAGGCGGUUUGUUAAGUCAGAUGUGAAAUCCCCGGGCUCAACCUGGGAACUGCAUCUGAUACUGGCAAGCUUGAGUCUCGUAGAGGGGGGUAGAAUUCCAGGUGUAGCGGUGAAAUGCGUAGAGAUCUGGAGGAAUACCGGUGGCGAAGGCGGCCCCCUGGACGAAGACUGACGCUCAGGUGCGAAAGCGUGGGGAGCAA